Molecule: ribosomal RNA, 440 nt
Filed under: Kregervanrija fluxuum
Lineage: Eukaryota; Fungi; Ascomycota; Pichiomycetes; Pichiales; Pichiaceae
Description: eukaryotic LSU rRNA
Rfam family: 5.8S ribosomal RNA (bases 108-261)
Source: RNAcentral
CCCCCCCAGAUUGACAUUUUGUCAUUUACACACUGUGAACUUUUAUUAGAGCAAAACUUAUUAAAACAUGUAAUUUUAUAAAUCGUCAAGAAAAAUAAUAAAGUGAAAACUUUCAACAACGGAUCUCUUGGUUCUCGCAUCGAUGAAGAGCGCAGCGAAAUGCGAUAAUUAAUGUGAAUUGCAGAUUUUCGUGAAUCAUCGAGUUCUUGAACGCACAUUGCGCCCUCUGGGAUUCCGGAGGGCAUGUCUGUUUGAGCGUCAUUUCAUUCUCACAAUAUAGUGGUUAUGACAUUGCCAGAAUUUUUUUUGGCUCUGUUGAAAAAGAUUAGGAAGACACCAAAGAACUAGGUUUACACCUCUUUGGAGUGUCCUUAAUAAAACAUACCAGAAAGUUUGACCUCAAAUCAGAUAGGAAUACCCGCUGAACUUAAGCAUAUAAA